RNAcentral lists this ribosomal RNA (253 nucleotides) under uncultured bacterium. Its description in RNAcentral is "partial 16S ribosomal RNA". It matches the Rfam family "Bacterial small subunit ribosomal RNA", at positions 524 to 776 of the family's 1533-position model. The record is from RNAcentral.
UACGAAGGGAGCUAGCGUUGUUCGGAAUUACUGGGCGUAAAGGGCGCGUAGGCGGCUUGAUAAGUUUGGUGUGAAAGCCCUGGGCUUAACCUAGGAAUAGCAUUGAAUACUGUCAGGCUUGAGACCGAGAGAGGGAAAUGGAAUUGCGAGUGUAGAGGUGAAAUUCGUAGAUAUUCGCAAGAACACCAGUGGCGAAGGCGAUUUCCUGGCUCGGUACUGACGCUAAGGCGCGAAAGCGUGGGGAGCAAAAGGG